GAUGAACGCUGGCGGCGUGCUUAACACAUGCAAGUCGAACGGGAAACCUUUUAUUGAAGCUUCGGCAGAUUUAGAUUGUUUCUAGUGGCGGACGGGUGAGUAACGCGUGGGUAACCUGCCUUAUACAGGGGGAUAACAGUCAGAAAUGACUGCUAAUACCGCAUAAGCGCACAGAGCUGCAUGGCUCGGUGUGAAAAACUCCGGUGGUAUAAGAUGGACCCGCGUUGGAUUAGCUAGUUGGUGAGGUAACGGCCCACCAAGGCGACGAUCCAUAGCCGGCCUGAGAGGGUGAACGGCCACAUUGGGACUGAGACACGGCCCAGACUCCUACGGGAGGCAGCAGUGGGGAAUAUUGCACAAUGGGGGAAACCCUGAUGCAGCGACGCCGCGUGAAGGAAGAAGUAUCUCGGUAUGUAAACUUCUAUCAGCAGGGAAGAAAAUGACGGUACCUGACUAAGAAGCCCCGGCUAA
RNAcentral lists this ribosomal RNA (471 nucleotides) under uncultured bacterium. RNAcentral's name for it is "bacterial SSU rRNA". It matches the Rfam family "Bacterial small subunit ribosomal RNA", at positions 28 to 500 of the family's 1533-position model. The record is from RNAcentral.